UUGCUUCUGUAGCACAUAUACUAAGCUUGGGACUAUACAGAGGAGAUUAGCAUGACCUCUGUGCAAGAGUGGCACACAAAUUUAUGUGGCAUUCCACAUUUUU
Small nuclear RNA from Fukomys damarensis (Damara mole-rat), 103 nucleotides. The record is from Ensembl. Lineage: Eukaryota; Metazoa; Chordata; Mammalia; Rodentia; Bathyergidae.